GAUGAACGCUGGCGGUAUGCUUUACACAUGCAAGUCGUACGAGAGUUUUGAACUCAAGUGGCGGACGGGUGAGUAACACGUAAGAAUUUGCCUUUAGGAGGGGGACAACAACUGGAAACGGUUGCUAAUACCCCAUAUGCUUUCGAGUGAAACGGUUUUUCCGCCUAAAGAGAAGCUUGCGGCUGAUUAGCUUGUUGGUAAGGUAAUGGCUUACCAAGGCGACGAUCAGUAUCUGGUUUGAGAGGACGAUCAGACACACUGGAACUGAGACACGGUCCAGACUCCUACGGGAGGCAGCAGUGGGGAAUUUUCCGCAAUGGGCGAAAGCCUGACGGAGCAAUACCGCGUGAGGGAUGAAUGCCUAUGGGUUGUAAACCUCUUUUUUCAGGGAGGAAUCAAUGACGUUACCUGAAGAAUAAGCAUCGGCUAACUCCGUGCCAGCAGCCGCGGUAAGACGGAGGAUGCAAGUGUUAUCCGGAAUCACUGGGCGUAAAGCGUCUGUAGGUGGCUUGAUAAGUCAACUGUUAAAUCUUGAGGCUCAACCUCAAAACCGCAGUCGAAACUAUCAGACUAG
RNAcentral lists this ribosomal RNA (574 nucleotides) under uncultured bacterium. Its description in RNAcentral is "bacterial SSU rRNA". It matches the Rfam family "Bacterial small subunit ribosomal RNA", at positions 28 to 644 of the family's 1533-position model. The record is from RNAcentral.